RNAcentral lists this ribosomal RNA (493 nucleotides) under uncultured bacterium. Its description in RNAcentral is "bacterial SSU rRNA". It matches the Rfam family "Bacterial small subunit ribosomal RNA", at positions 28 to 520 of the family's 1533-position model. The record is from RNAcentral.
GAUGAACGCUAGCGGCAGGCCUAACACAUGCAAGUCGAGGGGUAGAAUUAGCUUGCUAAUUUGAGACCGGCGCACGGGUGCGUAACGCGUAUGCAAUCUACCUUGUACAGGGGGAUAGCCCAGAGAAAUUUGGAUUAAUACCCCAUGGUAUAAUUAAUUUGCAUGAAUUGAUUAUUAAAGUUCCAACGGUACAAGAUGAGCAUGCGUCCCAUUAGCUAGUUGGUGUGGUAACGGCAUACCAAGGCGACGAUGGGUAGGGGUCCUGAGAGGGAGAUCCCCCACACUGGUACUGAGACACGGACCAGACUCCUACGGGAGGCAGCAGUGAGGAAUAUUGGUCAAUGGUCGGAAGACUGAACCAGCCAUGCCGCGUGCAGGAAGAAGCAUCUAUGGUGUGUAAACUGCUUUUGUACGGGAAGAAACACUCCUUCGUGAAGGAGCUUGACGGUACCGUAAGAAUAAGGAUCGGCUAACUCCGUGCCAGCAGCCGCGG